UCCUUUCUAGGGUUAGCAAAGUGAUAGCUCAUUCCUAGGUGAGCUUUGCUCCUACCUAUCUCUACUCUUGAGAGAGAGAGACCACUACUCCAUUGGAGGCCAAGACCUCCAUCUAGGAGAAGAUCCCGCGGGAUAUCAUCAAGACCCCCUUGUGGGAAGAUCCAUCUAGGAUAUCAUCAAGACCUCCUCUUGGAGAUGAACCUUACCUUGUAUCUUUCCCUUUGUUGUUCAUAUACCUUGUGAUCUUGUGUGUUUGAUUGUCUAGUGGAUGUGUGAUUUGGACUUGUUCUUGAGUGUUUCCCCUUGUGAUUUCUUCCCGUUCUUCCCCGUGUUCAUCGUGUUCUUCGAGGGAUCCCACUCCAAACGUGAAAGAUCGUCGCUAUAGGGUUCCACCCUACAUCAUAUGGUAUCAUGAGCCACGUUGAUCACGUUUUUGGAGUCCCUCCCACCGUUUUCUAGCCUUCUUUUGCUUGAUUUCGUCCUAAAUCCGAAAAUCCCCACCAAAAAUAGCCCCCAAAAUUUUUUGUGAUUUGUUGGUUUGAUGAUGUUUUGUUGAUUUUGAUCCGUGGAUUUGCUUGGUUUCAAGUGGAUCUAGCAUCUCCCCAAGUUUCCCCAUCUUCCAUCCACGAAAUCCAUCAAAUUUUGCCCCGAAAAUCAUCCAUUUCCGCCCAAAAAAUUCAUCCCCACGAGCAAAUCCCGAGCGGAUUGACUUGCCCGGAUCAUCCAGACAUUCUCCCGGAUCAUCCGGACCUCACCCGGAUCAGCUGGACGCCCCCCCGGACGUCCGGAUAAAUCGCGCACCCAGAAAACAGAACCGGCGCUGACGAACCCGGAUCAUCCUGAUUUCCUCCCGGAUCAUCCGGACCUAGCCCGGAUCAUCCGGACCUCCUCCCGGAUCAUUCGGUUAACCCUGAAACUGACACGGCUGAAAUCUUAUUUCGGUCAUAACUAAUUCAUCCGGAGUCCGAUUUUGACGUUCUUUAGCUCGUUUUGAAGCUCUUGACAUCCCCCAUCCCACAAAAAUACCACCAACAUCAUUUGACUCCAUCAUAUUUUCUGAAAUUUGGCAAGUUUGCCUAGGGCUUCCACCAUAUCAUCCGCAUUACCACCACCGACUUCCGCAACCUAACCCAUUUUGUUCCCCAUAGCAUUUGAGGUUGUUUGAGUAGUGAAUUGAGUCUCCUAAGGUGUUUCGGCUACUUAGGGACGGUUGCUUCUUCAUCAACCACCACCACCACCACUUCCACAUAACCUUCCCACCAUACACUUCCGACAACCCAACUUAACCCAAUUGUUGUUUGAGCUUGUUCGAGUUGUGGCUUGUGUCUCCUAAGGUGUUUCGGCUACUUAGGGACGGCAACUUCAACUCCGACUUGUGUAUAACCCAUCAUUCCACUUCCGCAUUUCCUAGUGCAACACCACCACCGCUUUCCGCUACCACCAUUUGACAUUUGUCACUUGAGAUUUUGAGUUUGCGGUUUUUCCGUUUCCUAAGGUGUUUCGGCUACUUAGGGACGAGUCUCCAUCAUCUUGGUAUCUACACCAAGAACAUCGCCACUCAUCAUCACAAAGGACGGUAACCUCGACGACACCAUUGUAUAUUCCCUUGCAAUUGCAUUAUUAACCCCUAGCCCAUUUUGCGUUACUUGCCUAUCGAGACUAGCCAUUUGAGUAUUGCGGCAACGUGACUUGUGCACAUUAGUGGUCUACACCAUCCAUUGCAUACAUACCAUAUCAUCUUGGUAUCAUAUCAUCCAUUGUGCCUCAAGUUUGUUCCCGCAUAUACACAAUUGCUAUCUUGGUUUGUGCAUUGUGCAAAAGUGGCCAUAGAAAAAAAAGAGAAAACGCUUUUAAGCAAAAAGAGAGCAAAGAGCUCGUGAGCAAGUGCCAUAGCAUCAUACCCCCAUUGCAAAUAAGAGCCAUACCAAAAUCUACAUCAUAUGAUAUCAUGCUUGAGAGAAGCACUGGGAACCAUACAUACAUAGCAUACUUGGGAUAGAAGUUUAUCCAUUUCGCAUCUAUAGGUUGUGCACAAGUGUCGUAUCCGCCUAUUGAGCAAUCGCGCUAGCGUCUCUCUUGAGUUGUGCAAUACGAGCAUUUUCCGUGGACUCCACAUUUUGUGCUCAUUCCUUGGUUGCACGACCCCAUUUAUCUAUCCGUGUGUGUGUUUACGUGUACCAUUUGCUAUUGGUCUACUUGUUUCACUUGCGAAUUUGUGAAUCUCUUUCAACAUUAUUGACUCUUGCUAACAUUUUGCAUUAAAUUUUUGUGCCACUAUCCUCACCGAGCUCCACCAUAAGCUUUACUUGAUAGGUGUGAGUGAACAAGUCCGGUACCAAUUCCACUAUUCUUUCAUCUCACAUUGAGUGACACGGGAUACAUCCUCAAUGUUGGGAAAAGGUAACUUGGUAUUGUUUAUCUCAUUUCCUACUCACCUCUACUCGAGUCUUGUGAUGGAUAGGCAAGGCAUUUCACUUUCGGUCUACAACAACAAUGACGAGUUCGAUGCCAUGAACAACAACUACGACACCAAGAUGGACAAGCGCAUGGAGGAGAUCAAGGCCCUCAUCAAGUCCUACAAGCGAUCUUCCUCAUCUUCGAGAAGACGCUCAAGAGCACAUCCUUCCGAGCUACCACCUCCGGCAAGAUCACAUCGGCAUCGACACCAUCACCAACAAGAACGUGAAGGUUCAGAGCUCAACACCAACAACCGCUCAACGACUUCACCAUCUCCCUUGGCAUCUUCGCCAAGCGACUUCAAGGCAUCUUCGCUGACGGACAUAUUGCAUCUUCGCCAACAAGAACCUCAAGACUACACUCAAGAGAAGCUACCCAAGCUCAAGUCCGCGACUUCCACGAGCUACUACGACCUUGACACCGACCACAAGAUUCCUUUCUAUGGGACUCAAGAACCCGAGGAGUACCUCGAGUGGGAGCGUUUGAUGGACGACUACCUCAAGCUACAUCAAGUUCCUCCCGAAGAUCAAGUGAAGUGCGCCACAAGAAACUUCCAUGACUACGCAUUGGCAUGGUGGCUUAACACACCUUCGGAGUACUAUGACAUGAGUUGGCACAAGACGAAGAAAGCUUUGCGGUGAGAGUUUGUGCCUCCAACCUACACGGAACAACUUCUAGGAGAACACCACCCAAGGAUCCAAGUCCAUCGACAAGUACUUCAAAGAGAUGAUGAUUGCCUUGCGACGAGCCGGCGUGGACGACCCCAUUUCGAUGAAGUUCCACUUCAUGAUGGGAUUGCACAAUGACAUCUCCAAGACCAUCUUCCUCGAGAACUACAAGUCCAUCGACGACUACUACAUUGGUGCUCUCAAGGCGGAACAAGAACUCAUGAAGGCCAAGGCUUCUCCACUCCAAGCAAACUUCGCGGCGACCAAGCUCUAUGACAAGCAUGAGGCUAGUACCACCAUGAUGUCCAAGGCCGACAAGCUCCAAGACGAUGCUCCCAAGUGUGACUUCACCGCCAUCCCUCUUUGUGGCAUUGAUGAUGCCGAGUCUACUUCGACUCUUUUUCAAGACGGCGCGGCGACGAGUUCGACUACGGAGACCUUCAAGGACCAAGCUUUGGAGGCGAGUGACAAGGUGAAGAGCAAGGAUGAUGCUUCCAUCUUAGGAGGCAAGAGUGAUGAUGUGCCAUCUUCGGCCUUCAUCCACGACGAGAGUGAUGUUGAGCCAUCUUCGGCCUUCAUCCACGACGAGAGUGAUGAUGGGCCAUCUUCGGCCUUCAUCCACGGCGACCACGACGAGAUGGUUGAGCAUGGGACUUUCCCUUCGACCACGGCGAUGUAUGAUGACUUGAGUGACUUGUGCCACCAUAUUGAGAGUGAGAGUGACUUCACCACUAGCCCCAUAUAUGAUGAGUUGCCACAAUUCCCAUGUGAGGAGAGCCACAACCCCCACCACUUGAGUGAGAUGAGUGACUCCACCAUACGUGAGUUUGAGUGCAUCUAUUUUGAGGGAGUGAGUGAACCACCACAUAGAGAGAGUGAGAUAGUUGAUAGGUCUCGUGAGGCCAUUUGCAUUUCUAACAACUUGACCUCUACCUCUAUUGUGUCUUCUCGUUUGGUGCUAGGUCCCAUUUAUGAUGACGCGCCGAUCCUCGACGACUUCGUCCUCCCUUUGGACAAGACAAUGGCCAUGGUGGAUUAUGAUGCACCGCCCACAUGGUUCCAUCAAGAUGAUGAUGAUGACCACCAUUUGGUCUUUCCCACCUCACCUACACCACUUGAGUGGAAUGACAAAGGUAACAUAUGUGAAGGUGAUGCUCUAGUCCCACUAGUGGACAUUCUUGACAUUGAUUGCUUGCAUGAUGUUGAUCCACCUAUUGCCAUGCUUCAUGCAAGUAUGAUUUCCCCAUGCGAUGAUUUGCCCAUUUAUGAUGAGUAUGAUGAUUCUAUUGUGGAUUCUAUUAGUUGUGAUGCCAUGUUACAUAGGAUUUCUUGUGACAAUUCUUUAGGUCACAUCAUGUUUGAUAAUCCGCUUGACUUGUCAUAUGCUAUGCAUGAGAUCAACCAUAUGUCUUAUUUGGAAUCUCUUCAUAGUGACUAUGCAUAUGCCAUUAAAAUAAACCCAAUUUGCACAUAUGGGAUAGAUGACAAGCCCAUGGUUAUUGGCAUUUGUUUUUCUUGUGAUGAUAUUGAUAUGCUCCCUUUGCAUCAUUUAUCUCAUAUGCCAUGCCAUGACCACCUAGCUUCGGAUAUGCAUUGUUUUGGAUGUUGUCCAUUUUCUCCAUGUGAUGUUUCCGAUAUUGCUCAUGAGGAGGCCCCCAUAGUUUCCUCAUACAUUUUAGGAGAUUUUGAUCCAUCCCAUCCAUUGCAUGAUCCCAAUACGUGUGUGCACCAUAUGCUCCCCAUGAAUAAACAUGCUUUUGAUGUGCCUUAUACUUGUUUGCUCAAUUUGUGUCCCCAUCGUGUCAUACAUAAUAACUAUUCUUUCAUGAUGGAUGACAUGUUCUUAUACCAUGCAUCAAAUUUCUUUGAGCGAUGCUUAUCUUGUGCUAACUCACACGUGCACAUACACAUCAUGAUGGAUGAUGUGUACAUUUACCACACACACAAUUUCUUUCGUUUGUGUCUCUUUUGUGUAGGUACCCAUGCAUACUUGUCAACUUCGCAAUCCCACGAGUUGACAAAACGAGCUCUUGAGAGCAAUGACGAUUUGGGAUACCGUGGACUAUCCUUACCACCGUUCCCUUAGCGCAAGGACUACGCGCAACUCCUCUACUUGGCUCUCACACGGCUAUGGGCCAUUUACCACUUCUCACAUUAUGCUCAUUUUACCGUGUUCACUUUGCAUGCUAUGCUUGCUUCUAUGCCUUUGCCAUGCAAUUGUGACCCUUGUUUUCAUCUACCCAUGAUUCUCCAUUAUGAUAUUCCUAUGUGUAUUUGCAUGCUUGGUGGAGAUCCUUGUUGCUUUUGCCAUGUUUAUCAUGUGCCCCAUUCUAUUGAUGCUUGUUGUGUUGGGAGAGUCAUGAUGACCCAUUGCUAUUCACAUAUGGCCUCUCGCCAAUACAUUCAUGAUAUUGUACUCAUAUCUUGCUUUCAUGCUUGUGCUAUGACUUGUGAAUUAUUCAUACCCACUAUUUGCACCAAUGACAUGUUUACCAUGAUUCCUCCUAGUAUGUUGCAUCUUCGCACUACUAGCUUGCUUGAUUUGAUAGCUAUGAAUGCUCGCUAUAUUGCAUCACCCAUGUUCCACUACUUGCUUUCUUGGGUUAAUGACAUAUAUGCUCAUGCCUCACACAUGUUGAACAAUUGCUCUUUCCAUUGUGUUGAGUGCCACAAUAUCUUCACUACACCCUAUGCACGUUAUGCUUGGAUUGUCUUGCACUUGCCCCGUGUGUUUAGACAUUUCACUAUAUUUGGUGUUGUGAAUGACUCUUAUGCCUACCAUAGACCGUUCAUUGAGCACUUUAUGCAUGCUUGCUAUGACCUUGAGGUAGAUGCUUCUUCACUUAUCACAUAUAUUUGCAUCUUGAUCUCACAUUUGCAUGCUUGUUCCCAUGAUGUACUUGAUUGUGCUCAAUUUAUAUGCUCAAAUGCCAUGCCACACUUCUUUGUCAAACCAUAUGCUAUGCUUGAUGACAACACUUGUUGGGUGAAUCACCUCUUGAAUGCUUGGUUUUGCUCUUACGACAACCACAUUUGUUUUUCCAAGAGCUAUCUUUGCUACUUUUGAAGGAAUUACAAGACGGCGCGACAUUGGAGAGUGCCCAUUUGGAACUACAAGAUGACGAAUGCUUGGUGAUCGUCCACUUCUACACGACGACAUCAUCUCUUUCCCAUGGUGAUUUGGAUUUCGUUCCGAGGUCGGAUCUUUCCCAAGGGGGAGGGGAUGAUGCGGAGCAUCCUACGGACAUCACCAUGUCAAGAGCCCAUUUGGCAAGUGACACGUGCGACAUCUACUUCACACACACCAAGGUGAAUAAUCUCCUUUACACGUGCUCACUUGACCCCUUCGAGGAUGGCAUACUACUUGACACUUCUCCCGUGUGCAUGCAUAGGUAUUGUCGGAACUUCACGGACGACGAGGAGGAGUGCAAGCGCCAAGGAACGACUACACCAUCUGCGAGGGAAGCGUGGAAGAGAAGACGGAAGAAAGGAGAAGAAGACGGAGCGGCUGCAGGAGCCAGGCCGGACAUCCGGACCACCGUCCGGAUCAUCCGGGCUCGGCCGGAUCAUCCGGGUCCCCCUUCGGAUCAUCCGGACAAUUUGGCCCGAAGACAACAGAAGCUGCCCGACGAAGCCGGAUCAUCCGGACGGUCGCCCGGAUCAUCCGGACCCCCGACACCCGGAUCAUCCGGGCCACCAUCUGGAUCAUCCGGACCCCGCCUGCGUGCGUGACUUGGGCCGAAGCCCGUGUACCCCUUUGCCCCUCACAUACCCCUUCGCCCCUUGGGCUAUAAAUAGACCUCCUCCACCUCCUUUCUAGGGUUAGCAAAGUGAUAGCUCAUUCCUAGGUGAGCUUUGCUCCUACUUAUCUCUACUGUUGAGAGAGAGAGACCACUACUCCAUUGGAGGCCAAGACCUCCAUCUAGGAGAAUAUCCCGCGGGAUAUCAUCAAGACCCCCUUGUGGGAAGAUCCAUCUAGGAUAUCAUCAAGACCUCCUCUUGGAGAUGAACCUUACCUUGUAUCUUUCCCUUUGUUGUUCAUAUACCUUGUGAUCUUGUGUGUUUGAUUGUCUAGUGGAUGUGUGAUUUGGACUUUUUCUUGAGUGUUUCCCCUUGUGAUUUCUUCCCGUUCUUCCCCGUGUUCAUCGUGUUCUUCGAGGGAUCCCACUCCAAACGUGAAAGAUCGUCGCUAUAGGGUUCCACCCUACAUCAUAUGGUAUCAUGAGCCACGUUGAUCACGUUUUUGGAGUCCCUCCCACCGUUUUCUAGCCUUCUUUUGCUUGAUUUCGUCCUAAAUCCGAAAAUCCCCACCAAAAAUAGCCCCCAAAAUUUUUUGUGAUUUGUUGGUUUGAUGAUGUUUUGUUGAUUUUGAUCCGUGGAUUUGCUUGGUUUCAAGUGGAUCUAGCAUCUCCCCAAGUUUC
Molecule: long non-coding RNA, 7546 nt
Filed under: Triticum aestivum (bread wheat)
Lineage: Eukaryota; Viridiplantae; Streptophyta; Magnoliopsida; Poales; Poaceae
Description: long non-coding RNA (TAES_LNC003661)
Source: RNAcentral